GUGGGGUUGUGGCUCAGUGGUAGCGCACUUGCCUGGCAUGUGUGAGGCACUGGGUUCAGCUCUCAGCACCACA
This 73-nucleotide transfer RNA is filed under the name Marmota monax (woodchuck). RNAcentral's name for it is "tRNA.Ala". Lineage: Eukaryota; Metazoa; Chordata; Mammalia; Rodentia; Sciuridae. The record is from RNAcentral.